UCUCCCCAGAAUCAAUUUCAAGCCUCUGGGUUAUUCAUGCUUCCUUCUGUUUUGGGCUUCUCUGUUUGCUCUGUUUUCCUUUCUGAAGAGGCUUCUUUCUGUGAAUUCUAGUUCUCUACUAUUUUAUCACGUAAAACAUCCGGAGUGGCUUCUGGUAGGAGCAUCUUCCAGGGAUGAGGAGACAUCCGGGAGAGCAAACAGAGUUUGGAGAGACUGCAAUCCCAUCGGCAUGCCUAACAGCCCAGCUUGUUGGGAGGUGUGGAGCGGGCAUCAAAGUUGGCCCACUUUUUGGCAAGGUUCCCAGAUUCAAGGUUAAAUAGGAAAAGAGAAAUGUUUACAGUGGUGACCUUGAAAUUCAUCCAGAAGUAGGGGCGAAACUGAUACUAAGAAAAUAAGCAAUUUGCUCUAAGAAAAAAGAAGAUUAUUUUCCACGUCUCUAAUGCCAAAGUUUUCUGCCUGUCAAUAAUCCAAGAAAUUCAUGAAGUGAAAUGAACAAUAAAUUUCUAUCUCUUGGCACUGAAAGUGCAUAAUUCAAUUUUUUAUUUGACCGAGUCUAUACUGUUCAACGCUCCUAGGAACCAACACCUUAUCGCGGCCGGAGAGUUUGCAUACGUCACUGAAGCUUUGAGCUAUGCCACUGAGAGGGA
Molecule: long non-coding RNA, 647 nt
Filed under: Ornithorhynchus anatinus (platypus)
Lineage: Eukaryota; Metazoa; Chordata; Mammalia; Monotremata; Ornithorhynchidae
Description: lncRNA (ENSOANG00000037763.1)
Source: RNAcentral